Molecule: ribosomal RNA, 449 nt
Filed under: uncultured bacterium
Lineage: Bacteria
Description: partial 16S ribosomal RNA
Rfam family: Bacterial small subunit ribosomal RNA
Source: RNAcentral
AACGAACGCUGGCGGCAUGCCUAACACAUGCAAGUCGAACGAAGGCUUCGGCCUUAGUGGCGCACGGGUGCGUAACGCGUGGGAAUCUGCCCCUCGGUUCGGAGUAACAGUUAGAAAUGACUGCUAAUACCGGAUGAUGACUUCGGUCCAAAGAUUUAUCGCCGAGGGAUGAGCCCGCGUAAGAUUAGGUAGUUGGUGGGGUAAAGGCCUACCAAGCCGACGAUCUUUAGCUGGUCUGAGAGGAUGAUCAGCCACACUGGGACUGAGACACGGCCCAGUCUCCUACGGGAGGCAGCAGUGGGGAAUAUUGGACAAUGGGCGAAAGCCUGAUCCAGCAAUGCCGCGUGAGUGAUGAAGGCCUUAGGGUUGUAAAGCUCUUUUACCAGGGAUGAUAAUGACAGUACCUGGAGAAUAAGCUCCGGCUAACUCCGUGCCAGCAGCCGCGGUAA